This is a non-coding RNA of Sus scrofa (pig), 1152 nucleotides long. The record is from RefSeq and is a predicted model, not a curated record. Lineage: Eukaryota; Metazoa; Chordata; Mammalia; Artiodactyla; Suidae.
UUAACAUUUUGACUUGUGUGUGCUCCCCCGCCGAAGAUGAUAAGCCUGACUGCUAACGUUUGCGGUUCAAUUCAUCCGACGUUAAAAAUUUUUUUUUUUAAUUUUGAAAAUUUGGAUAGAUGGACUUUCUUCCAUCUGUCGCCCCAUUUCUUAGGUGUGGGAGUGUGUGGACAUAUAUGUACGGCGUGUCCUGUGCAAGCUUUCGUGCCCGUCUCCACAGAAACAUUACAUUUUUUUUUUUUCUUUUGACUUAAAAAAAGAUUCGGGACCACGGUGGUUCGGAAGCAUUUUGCUGCAAUCAGCUGUUUGAACGGCUCUGGGGCCGUGUGUGAUGUGUUUACAAAGUAGCGCUGUGUUACAUACAAAUAAACAGAAGAGUGUGGCGAGGAGAGGAGGGGAAAAAAAAAAUGUAUCUGCAGUACAGGGAGAGAAAGAGCAAAGCGCCAGUUCUCUGCAAAGCGAGACUGGAGAGGAAGGCUGAAGGACUUCUGGAAAGUGUGAGCAACCACGGGCUUUUUUCUCCUCCUUCUUCUUUAAGGAAACUGUCAGCUACCACCUCCCGGGGUGCAUUUUUUGGGUUAACCAGAGAAAAAAAAAGGAAAACAGGCUUGGCCGGGUUUGCGUUAAGCGAUUUUUUUUUUUUCCCCUCCUGCCUCUGCUGGCCUUGGAUAAGAUGACGGCUUGUGUGAUGCACGAAAUAACGCACGUGAUUGAUUAGGACCUGGCUGGGCUUUGCUGGGGAGCGACCCGGGCGCGCCAGAGACCCCAGGUAUCUCCUUGACCGAGUACCCAGGGUGCAUCUGGAAUGGCUGUGAACGUGUGUGUCAAACACCACGUCUUGUGCCAUAAAGAUGAAAUCCUGUGCAGAAGCUUCCCCCAUGCAUCGUCUUAGCGUGGAAUAGAUCCUUCUUAGCAUCUGCAUCUGAUAUCGCUCCUCAGAGAAACAUGUGCUGAGAUGGAAAAGAAAUCAAGGAGAUUUCCAUGGAGGCAUUUUUAAAGGCAUCAUCUUAGAAGGACAGUAUAAUGGUAAGUGUCAGAAAUAAUCAUUGAUCGCCGCUGGCUUAUUAUGUUGAUGCAUUUUCAGCCUGGUGAGUCCAAACCUAGCAGGGCUCUCAGAUUACUUUGCUGGUGAAAAUAGUUUUCUUUCCUUUC